AAUUGUUAAGCACUGUAUGUUUUCAUAGCAUUCAGUUGGCACGUUUGUUUGAGGGACAUUGGGCAGAAUGUGGAAUAGUGUCUUUUUGUCAA
Long non-coding RNA from Sinocyclocheilus grahami, 92 nucleotides. RefSeq lists it as uncharacterized. Lineage: Eukaryota; Metazoa; Chordata; Actinopteri; Cypriniformes; Cyprinidae. The transcript is spliced from 2 exons. The record is from RefSeq and is a predicted model, not a curated record.